Hibiscus syriacus is the source of this 344-nucleotide long non-coding RNA. RefSeq lists it as uncharacterized. The record is from RefSeq and is a predicted model, not a curated record. The transcript has 4 exons. NCBI's taxonomy places the organism in Eukaryota, Viridiplantae, Streptophyta, Magnoliopsida, Malvales, Malvaceae.
GCUUGUUUUCUUGCGGCUUAAUGACAAGAAGUUAACUGGACCUAUCCCUAGGGAACUUGUUGGUGUUUCAAGCCUCAAAGUUGUUGAUGUCUCAAGCAAUGAUUUGUGUGGACCAAUUCCUACCAGUGGACCAUUUGAGCACAUUCCUCUAAACAACUUCGAGAAAAACCCUCGCCUAGAAGGUCCCGAGCUUCUGGGGCUCGCAAGUUACGACACAAACUGCUCGUCAAGUACAGGUUGAUGUUAUAAAGCUUGGAGUUGAAUAUGUACUGACAUGGUUUUAAGCAUAUUAUCACACCGUAUAAUGGGGGUUCCUUGAACGCUAGCCCUCGUACGUGUAAAUC